UUAAGUUCAGCGGGUAUUCCUACCCGAUUCGAGGUCAACCUUGAUCGAACUUCGAUUGAAAUUCGCUGCAUUCUAACGGCGUGAACCGUCCCUACCAUCAGCGAGAAGUAUGUCACAACGCUAAAGACAGGCGACGGCCAGCCGGUGAAAUUGGGGCGCGGGAGAGACCCGUCGCCCAAUACCAAGCCGGGCUUGAUUGG
Molecule: unclassified non-coding RNA, 200 nt
Filed under: Capnodiales sp.
Lineage: Eukaryota; Fungi; Ascomycota; Dothideomycetes; Capnodiales
Description: partial internal transcribed spacer 2
Source: RNAcentral